Molecule: ribosomal RNA, 251 nt
Filed under: uncultured bacterium
Lineage: Bacteria
Description: partial 16S ribosomal RNA
Rfam family: Bacterial small subunit ribosomal RNA
Source: RNAcentral
AAGUCGAACGAAGGCUUCGGCCUUAGUGGCGGACGGGUGAGUAACGCGUGGGAAUCUACCUAGCGGCGGGGAAUAACAGUUGGAAACGACUGCUAAUACCCCAUAUGCCGAGAGGUGAAAUGAAUUUCGCCUGAGGAUGAGCUCGCGUCUGAUUAGCUAGUUGGUGUGGUAAAGGCUCACCAAGGCAUCGAUCAGUAGCUGGUCUGAGAGGAUGAUCAGCCACACUGGGACUGAGACACGGCCCAGACUCC